Molecule: ribosomal RNA, 497 nt
Filed under: uncultured bacterium
Lineage: Bacteria
Description: partial 16S ribosomal RNA
Rfam family: Bacterial small subunit ribosomal RNA
Source: RNAcentral
GAUGAACGCUGGCGGCGUGCCUAAUACAUGCAAGUCGAGCGAACAGACGAGGAGCUUGCUCCUUUGACGUUAGCGGCGGACGGGUGAGUAACACGUAGGUAACCUACCUAUAAGACUGGGAUAACUUCGGGAAACCGGAGCUAAUACCGGAUAAUAUUUCGAACCGCAUGGUUCGAUAGUGAAAGAUGGCUUUGCUAUCACUUAUAGAUGGACCUGCGCCGUAUUAGCUAGUUGGUAAGGUAACGGCUUACCAAGGCAAGGAUACGUAGCCGACCUGAGAGGGUGAUAGGCCACCCUGGAAGUGAGACACGGUCCAGACUCCUACGGGAGGCAGCAGUAGGGAAUCUUCCGCAAUGGGCGAAAGCCUGACGGAGCAACGCCGCGUGAGUGAUGAAGGUCUUCGGAUCGUAAAACUCUGUUAUUAGGGAAGAACAAAUGUGUAAGUAACUGUGCACGUCUUGACGGUACCUAAUCAGAAAGCCACGGCUAACUACGUG